This 329-nucleotide unclassified non-coding RNA is filed under the name soil metagenome. Its description in RNAcentral is "partial contains 5.8S ribosomal RNA, internal transcribed spacer 2, and large subunit ribosomal RNA". The stretch from base 1 to 120 matches the Rfam family "5.8S ribosomal RNA", at positions 35 to 154 of the family's 154-position model. The record is from RNAcentral.
GAUGAAGAACGCAGCGAAAUGCGAUAAGUAAUGUGAAUUGCAGAAUUCAGUGAAUCAUCGAAUCUUUGAACGCACAUUGCGCCCCCAGGUAUUCCGGGGGGCAUGCCUGUCCGAGCGUCAUUACAACCCUCAAGCUCAGCUUGGUGUUGGGCCCCGCCGCCCCGGCGGGCCCUAAAGUCAGUGGCGGUGCCGUCCGGCUCCGAGCGUAGUAAUUCUUCUCGCUCUGGAGGUCCGGUCGUGUGCUCGCCAGCAACCCCCAAUUUUUUUCAGGUUGACCUCGGAUCAGGUAGGGAUACCCGCUGAACUUAAGCAUAUCAAUAAGCGGAGGA